ACAAAAGGUUGGGCUAUAACUUCGUUUGAAACAAAAACGCCACUAAUAUGUACUAAAAUUUUCAAAGAACCUUUUUUUUUUUUACCCAAAUCAAUUCCCCCGCCCCCUCCCCCUUCCCCAAAUCAUUUUUCCCCAAAUCAGUUCCCCUCCCCAGAUCUGUUGGUCAUAUGAUUCAAGCAAAAUCCGAUCCCCAUAAAAUGAAUACUUGCAGAGACUGAUGGCACUUCCCAACCAGGUUUAUUAUUGAUAGACAUAAGGUGGGUAAUCGGAUUAUCAGAAGAGGAUUCAUGUCAGAAUGGAGCAUGUUCUUCAAAUUGAUAGCUUUUGGUUUGGUAUCACUAUGCUUUCCAUGCAUAUCCAAAUAUGUGGCAUUAGUGACAAUAAGAUAUAUCAUUAUCACUUAAAUCUUAGAGGAAGUGUUUCUACCAGAAGGCGGACUAGGCUACCUUCAAUUCCUAAGAAUGAUGCAAAGUUCAGGAUUUACAUUCAAUGAGCAAGAAACAUUGCGGCAACUCAUUGGGAUCGAGCAGUCAAAAUUCAGAAUCAAACGACACAUGAGCUAUAUUUGGAGCUUAGACUGUCACUGUAAUCAGUAAUUUUUUUCUGCCACUUUAAAUGCAUGCUCAUGGAACUGCAUUUUAUGCUUUCCUAGAAUUGUAAGUUCAAAUAAGGUGUUGAUCUUGCAAUUCAUACAUACAACUUGAGCAAGUUGAUAUAAACUAAUUUGAAUUUUUUUAAAAAAAAAUUCAAAGGAAUCUUAUGUAAUCAAAGGCAAUUUGACUUGCUGCAUGAGAUAUAGUGAAAAACAUUUUUCUUUUCGUUCA
Gossypium arboreum is the source of this 824-nucleotide long non-coding RNA. RefSeq lists it as uncharacterized. The transcript is spliced from 5 exons. NCBI's taxonomy places the organism in Eukaryota, Viridiplantae, Streptophyta, Magnoliopsida, Malvales, Malvaceae. The record is from RefSeq and is a predicted model, not a curated record.